RNAcentral lists this ribosomal RNA (500 nucleotides) under uncultured bacterium. RNAcentral's name for it is "bacterial SSU rRNA". It matches the Rfam family "Bacterial small subunit ribosomal RNA", at positions 1 to 518 of the family's 1533-position model. The record is from RNAcentral.
AGUAGUUGAUACGUGGCACGAGGACGAACGCUGGCGGCGUGCCUAACACAUGCAAGUCGAACGGACUGAUUCCCUUCGGGGAUGAAAGUUAGUGGCGGACGGGUGAGUAACGCGUGAGCAACCUGCCUUUCAGAGGGGAAUAACGUUUGGAAACAGACGCUAAUACCGCAUAACGCAUAGGUGUCGCAUGGCAUUUAUGCCAAAGGAGCAAUCCGCUGAAAGAUGGGCUCGCGUCCGAUUAGAUAGUUGGUGGGGUAACGGCCUACCAAGUCGACGAUCGGUAGCCGGACUGAGAGGUUGAACGGCCACAUUGGGACUGAGACACGGCCCAGACUCCUACGGGAGGCAGCAGUGGGGGAUAUUGCACAAUGGGCGGAAGCCUGAUGCAGCAACGCCGCGUGAGGGAAGACGGUUUUCGGAUUGUAAACCUCUGUCUUUGGUGACGAAGAAAUGACGGUAGCCGAGGAGGAAGCCACGGCUAACUACGUGCCAGCAGCGGC